GUGGGGAAUAUUGGACAAUGGGCGCAAGCCUGAUCCAGCAAUGCCGCGUGGGUGAAGAAGGCCUUCGGGUUGUAAAGCCCUUUUGUACGGAAAGAAAUCCUGGUGGUUAAUACCCGCCGGGGAUGACGGUACCGUAAGAAUAAGCACCGGCUAACUUCGUGCCAGCAGCCGCGGUAAUACGAAGGGUGCAAGCGUUAAUCGGAAUUACUGGGCGUAAAGCGUGCGUAGGUGGUUUCUUAAGUCUGUCGUGAAAGCCCUGGGCUCAACCUGGGAAUGGCGAUGGAUACUGGGAGGCUAGAGUGCGGUAGAGGAUGGCGGAAUUCCCGGUGUAGCGGUGAAAUGCGUAGAGAUCGUGAGGAACAUCUGUGGCGAAGGCGGCCAUCUGGACCAGCACUGACACUGAGGCACGAAAGCGUGGGGAGCAAACAGGAUUAGAAACCCGAGUAGUCC
This 450-nucleotide ribosomal RNA is filed under the name uncultured bacterium. RNAcentral describes it as "partial 16S ribosomal RNA". It matches the Rfam family "Bacterial small subunit ribosomal RNA", at positions 354 to 796 of the family's 1533-position model. The record is from RNAcentral.